Molecule: ribosomal RNA, 420 nt
Filed under: uncultured bacterium
Lineage: Bacteria
Description: bacterial SSU rRNA
Rfam family: Bacterial small subunit ribosomal RNA
Source: RNAcentral
AGGGAAUAUUGGACAAUGGAGGCAACUCUGAUCCAGCCAUCCCGCGUGAAGGAUUAAGGCCCUAUGGGUUGUAAACUUCUUUUCUCUGGGAAUAAAAACCGGGAUUUAUCCUGGCUUGAAGGUACCAGAGGAAUAAGCACCGGCUAACUCCGUGCCAGCAGCCGCGGUAAUACGGAGGGUGCAAGCGUUAUCCGGAUUCACUGGGUUUAAAGGGUGCGUAGGUGGUUUUGUAAGUCAGUGGUGAAAGCCCGGAGCUCAACUCCGGAACUGCCAUUGAUACUGCUUAACUUGAAUCAAGUAGAGGUGGAUGGAAUAAUACAUGUAGCGGUGAAAUGCUUAGAUAUGUAUUAGAACACCGAUUGCGAAGGCAGUUCACUAUGCUUGUAUUGACACUGAGGCACGAAAGCGUGGGGAUCAAAC